CCUCAGAGGCGGCGAGAGCGCGAACCCAGGGGCGGGCCGGCUGCUUCCUCUCCCGUCUCCCGGCAGCCGUGAAGCUACUCAAGGAUGUGCUCCACCAAAAUGAGGAUAUGAAGCCAAUAUAAAGGAAGACAAUGAAUACAAGAGACAGGCAAAGGGAGUUCCCAGGACAUAAGCAAGGGACAUCCCAGGUAGCAAGAGUCCACCUGAUGUCCAGGGCCAUCUGUCCAGGUCCUCUCUCUACUCUUCUGCAUCCUGUUCUCUGCCCAGGGAGGAUGACCUAUUUAGACAGCAGCAAAGGGCUUGCUUACCCAAGGGUACUGGCAGGAGAGAGGAAGGAGGAGAUGGAGAAAUCAAGGCGCAAAGAGGUUACGAAGCUUGCCCAGGGUUUGCCGGGACAUAGAUGGGAGUACUAAUUCACAACUAGAUGUUCCAAUUACAGCUAAAGACAACUAACCAUCUCUACAGACUUUUGCUACCAUAUUGCUCAAGUGCCAGAGCUAUUGCAUAAGCUGAUGUGUCUCCUUCCAGAGGACUCCAUCUCAGUUCACCGCAUAUGAGGAUCUUACAGAACUCAACUGCAAAAUGAGUAUGAUGAGAAUCUUACAGAAUCUUUCAAAACUCCACUCAACACCAACUGUGGGGUCUUGUGACCAUUGGGCUGGUGGAGAAUUCUGCAGAAUUUCAGAAGCACUGGCUUAGUGCCAUGGUGAGUCAGCAUGAACUUAGUUUUGUGAGUGGGCUGCUUCCAUGUUCAAUUGACUGUAGCUUCAUACCUCUCAUUUGUUUAUAAAGCCCUACUAUGUAAAUAUUACCACAGAAUUCAGCAUCUCAAAAUUAACAGAUGUUUACUAUCUCAUAGUUUCUAUGGGUCAGGAAUCAAGUGUGGCCCAGCUGGGUGUCUCCAGCUUAAGACCUCUCAAGAGAUUGCAGUCAAGCUGUGGUCAGUGGGGUUGCUGUCUCACCUGAAGACU
Cercocebus atys (sooty mangabey) is the source of this 971-nucleotide long non-coding RNA. RefSeq lists it as uncharacterized. The transcript is spliced from 6 exons. The record is from RefSeq and is a predicted model, not a curated record. Lineage: Eukaryota; Metazoa; Chordata; Mammalia; Primates; Cercopithecidae.